RNAcentral lists this ribosomal RNA (497 nucleotides) under uncultured bacterium. Its description in RNAcentral is "partial 16S ribosomal RNA". It matches the Rfam family "Bacterial small subunit ribosomal RNA", at positions 28 to 507 of the family's 1533-position model. The record is from RNAcentral.
GAUGAACGCUGGCGGCGUGCCUAAUACAUGCAAGUCGAGCGAACGGACGAGAAGCUUGUGUCCUUGAUGUUAGCGGCGGACGGGCGAGUAAGAAAUAGAUAAGCUACUUAUAAGACUGGGAUAACUUCGGGAAAACGGUGAUGAUACCGGCGCAUACUAUGAACCGGAGGGUUCAAAAGUGAAAGACGGUCUUGCUGUCACUUAUAGAUGGAGCCGCGCUGCAUUAGCUAGUUGGUAAGGUAACGGCUUACCAAGGCAACGAUGCAUAGCCGACCUGAGAGGAUGAUCAGCCACACUGGAACUGAGACACGGUCCAGACUCCUACGGGAGGCAGCAGUAGGGAAUCUUCCACAAUGGGCGAAAGCCUGACGCAGCAACGCCGCGUGAGUGAUGAAGGUCUUCGGAUUGUAAAGCUCUGUUGUUGGGGAAGAACAUAUGUGUAAUUAUCUGUGCCCAUCUUGACGGUACCCAAUCAGUAAGCCACGGCUAACUACGUG